RNAcentral lists this ribosomal RNA (227 nucleotides) under uncultured bacterium. RNAcentral's name for it is "partial 16S ribosomal RNA". It matches the Rfam family "Bacterial small subunit ribosomal RNA", at positions 15 to 233 of the family's 1533-position model. The record is from RNAcentral.
GAUCAUGGCUCAGGAUGAACGCUAGCUACAGGCUUAACACAUGCAAGUCGAGGGGCAGCGGGAUUGAAGCUUGCUUCAAUUGCCGGCGACCGGCGCACGGGUGAGUAACGCGUAUCCAACCUUCCGUACACUCAGGGAUAGCCUUCGAAGAAAGAAUUAAUACUCGAUGGUAGUGAUGAGAUUGCAUGAUAGCAUCAUUAAAGUAAUUAUCGUGUACGAUGGGAGUG